UCCGUAGGUGAACCUGCGGAAGGAUCAUUAACGAGUUAUUGAACAGGUUGUAGCUGGCCUUCAGGGGCAUGUGCACGCCUGGCUCAUCCACUCUUCAACCUCUGUGCACUUAUUGUAGGUCGGUGGAAGAGUAAGUCUAAGUGAUUAGACUUGCUUGGAAGCCUUCCUAUGUUUUUACAAACGCUUCAGUUUAAGAAUGUAUCUCUGCGUAUAACGCAUUUAUAUACAACUUUCAGCAACGGAUCUCUUGGCUCUCGCAUCGAUGAAGAACGCAGCGAAAUGCGAUAAGUAAUGUGAAUUGCAGAAUUCAGUGAAUCAUCGAAUCUUUGAACGCACCUUGCGCUCCCUGGUAUUCCGGGGAGCAUGCCUGUUUGAGUGUCAUGGUAUUCUCAACCUUCAUAACUUUUGUUAUCGAAGGCUUGGAUUUGGAGGUUGUGCUGGCUUCUCGUCAAGUCGGCUCCUCUUAAAAGCAUUAGCGUGAGUGUAACGGAUCGCUUCGGUGUGAUAAUUAUCUGCGCCGUGGUCGUGAAGUAACAUAAGCUUGCGCUUCUAACCGUCCUUCAGCUGGACAAAUUUACUCUGACAUCCUGACCUCAAAUCAGGUAGGACUACCCGCUGAACUUAAGCAUAUC
This 632-nucleotide ribosomal RNA is filed under the name uncultured fungus. RNAcentral's name for it is "eukaryotic LSU rRNA". The stretch from base 228 to 381 matches the Rfam family "5.8S ribosomal RNA". The record is from RNAcentral. Lineage: Eukaryota; Fungi.